This 689-nucleotide ribosomal RNA is filed under the name uncultured bacterium. Its description in RNAcentral is "bacterial SSU rRNA". It matches the Rfam family "Bacterial small subunit ribosomal RNA", at positions 703 to 1390 of the family's 1533-position model. The record is from RNAcentral.
GGAACACCGAUGGCGAAGGCAGAUCUCUGGGCCGUGACUGACGCUGAGGAGCGAAAGGGUGGGGAGCAAACAGGCUUAGAUACCCUGGUAGUCCACCCCGUAAACGUUGGGAACUAGUUGUGGGGGCCUUUCCACGGUCUCCGUGACGCAGCUAACGCAUUAAGUUCCCCGCCUGGGGAGUACGGCCGCAAGGCUAAAACUCAAAGGAAUUGACGGGGACCCGCACAAGCGGCGGAGCAUGCGAAUUAAUUCGAUGCAACGCGAAGAACCUUACCAAGGCUUGACAUACACCGGAAACGUCCAGAGAUGGUCGCCCCUUUUUGGUCGGUGUACAGGUGGUGCAUGGUUGUCGUCAGCUCGUGUCGUGAGAUGUUGGGUUAAGUCCCGCAACGAGCGCAACCCUCGUUCUAUGUUGCCAGCACGUUAUGGUGGGAACUCAUGGGAUACUGCCGGGGUCAACUCGGAGGAAGGUGGGGAUGACGUCAAAUCAUCAUGCCCCUUAUGUCUUGGGCUUCACGCAUGCUACAAUGGCCGGUACAAUGGGCUGCGAUACCGUGAGGUGGAGCGAAUCCCAAAAAGCCGGUCCCAGUUCGGAUCGUAGUCUGCAACUCGACUACGUGAAGUCGGAGUCGCUAGUAAUCGCAGAUCAGCAACGCUGCGGUGAAUACGUUCCCGGGUCUUGUACACAC